RNAcentral lists this ribosomal RNA (443 nucleotides) under uncultured bacterium. RNAcentral describes it as "partial 16S ribosomal RNA". It matches the Rfam family "Bacterial small subunit ribosomal RNA", at positions 338 to 795 of the family's 1533-position model. The record is from RNAcentral.
CCUACGGGUGGCAGCAGUGGGGAAUAUUGGUCAAUGGGCGCAAGCCUGACCCAGCAACGCCGCGUGAGGGAAGAAGGUUCUCGGGUUGUAAACUUCUUUUAUCAGGGACGAAGAAAGUGACGGUACCUGAUGAAUAAGCCACGGCUAACUACGGGCCUGCAGCCGCGGGAAUACGUAGGUGGCGAGAGUUAUCCGGAUUUACUGGGUGUAAAGGGCGUGUAGGCGGGAAUGCAAGUCAGAUGUGAAAACUAGGGGCACAACCCAUAGCCUGCAUUUGAAACUGUAUUUCUUGAGUGCUGGAGAGGCAAGCGGAAUGCGGGGUGUAGCGGUGAAAUGCGUAGAUAUACGGAAGAACACCAGUUGCGAAGGCGGAGUGCUGGACAGUAACUGACGCUGAGGCGCGAAAGCGUGGGGAGCAAACAGGAUGAGAUACCCUUGUAGUC